GAUGAACGCUAGCGGCAGGCUUAAUACAUGCAAGUUGAGGGGCAGCAUGAUAUACGCGAGUAUAUUGAUGGCGACCGGCGGACGGGUGAGUAAUAGGUAGGAGACCUACCUCAUACAGGGGGAUAGCAUAGAGAAAUCUGUGGUAAUACCCCAUGAGGUUAUAUGAAUAGAGGCAUAUAAUCAAAGCAUAAGCGAUUAUGCGGUAUGAGAGGGGCCUACUGACCAUUAGCUAGUUGGUGAGGUAAGGGCUCACCAAGGCGAAGAUGGUUAGGGGUUUUGAGAGAGAGACCCCCCACAUUGGAACUGAGAGACGGUCCAGACUCCUACGGGAGGCAGCAGUAGGGAAUAUUGGGCAAUGGGCGAAAGCCUGACCCAGCCAUGCCGCGUGAAGGAAGACGGCCUUAUGGGUUGUAAACUUCUUUACUACGCGAAUAGAGGUUAGUACGAGAUACUAAUAGGAAGGUAGUAGUAGUAAAAAGCACGGCUAACUCCGU
This 494-nucleotide ribosomal RNA is filed under the name uncultured bacterium. RNAcentral's name for it is "bacterial SSU rRNA". It matches the Rfam family "Bacterial small subunit ribosomal RNA", at positions 28 to 506 of the family's 1533-position model. The record is from RNAcentral.